Molecule: ribosomal RNA, 505 nt
Filed under: uncultured Spartobacteria bacterium
Lineage: Bacteria; Pseudomonadati; Verrucomicrobiota; Spartobacteria
Description: bacterial SSU rRNA
Rfam family: Bacterial small subunit ribosomal RNA
Source: RNAcentral
GAGUUUGAUCCUGGCUCAGAACGAACGCUGGCGGCGUGGAUAAGACAUGCAAGUCGAACGGGAUUUUAUUUGUAGUAAUACAGAUAAAAUUUAGUGGCGAACGGGUGCGUAACACGUGAGUAAUCUGCCAAGAAGUGGGGGAUAGCUCGCCGAAAGGCGAAUUAAUACCGCAUGUGACUAGUAGGGGCAUCUCUACCAAGUUAAAGCCGUAAGGCGCUUUUUGAUGAACUCGCGGCCUAUCAGCUAGUUGGUGAGGUAAUGGCUCACCAAGGCAAUGACGGGUAGCUGGUCUGAGAGGACGACCAGCCACACUGGAACUGAGACACGGUCCAGACACCUACGGGUGGCAGCAGUUAGGAAUCUUGGACAAUGGGCGCAAGCCUGAUCCAGCCAUGCCGCGUGAGUGAUGAAGGCCUUAGGGUUGUAAAGCUCUUUCAGCGGGGAAGAUAAUGACGGUACCCGCAGAAGAAGCCCCGGCUAACUUCGUGCCAGCAGCCGCGGUAAC